Molecule: non-coding RNA, 975 nt
Organism: Delphinapterus leucas (beluga whale)
Lineage: Eukaryota; Metazoa; Chordata; Mammalia; Artiodactyla; Monodontidae
Source: RefSeq, a predicted model, not a curated record
UUCACUGUUCUCUGAAAGUGGUCCUCUAAUGAACUUGUGUCCUGAUGCAUUACCUGCUUCCUCCCGCUGAAAUGAAAUGUAGAGUCAUCAGGCAACUUUGCCCUUUGGUCCUGAAUUAUGUUUGGCCAAUCGGAGCACCAAUAGGAGGUUGUAGAAGAGAAGGAUGAAGGUGUGGCGUUACUGCACCUGGACCCUCCCUACAAGAUUGUCUCAAGCUGGGUGGAAAGAUCACAUCACUGCUCAAUGCUGCCAUAACUUCAAAGGUUUAAGAUGGAAAUGGAAACCUGUACCAUUAUUCAUUUUGCAUCACAAAUAAGAAUGUGUGCUUCUCGUGGACCAGCAUUGGCGUGUUCGAAGGGAGCUGUCCUAGGGUUGUUGUAAAAGAGACCCAGCCGAGAACACCUACAGAGAGAUGGGCACCUGGAAGUCCAGCUGCUGAGAGAGAAGGCAUUGCUCCUUGGAAGGGCACACAGUUGGGGACUCCCAGUGAGAGCUCUCUUAGGAACCCAAGAAUGCACCCCAUGUGAGAGAAAGAGCCAGAAAUUUCUCCUCUACUCCGCUGAGACGGUCCAAAGCCAGAUAACAACCAGUCCCCCCAGGUAAGACCUUUUCUCUUCUUACUGCGCCUCUCUCCCCGGUGUAUCAAACUCUACAGCAGUUGUGUAUGGGUGCUGGUGAGGAAGAAGAGACAGCAGAAAGGAAGAGGCGAGAAGCCGGUCUGCAGGUCAGGGGAGACAGACCAGCCUUACAGUGGCUGAAAGAAUGGGGGUUCCGUAUAGCUGGGCUGAAUCUUCUUAAUUACCAAAGUGACCGUUCUUCUGAAUGAAAGACCAUGAAAAAGCACGUGUCUUGCUGAAGACUUCAUCCAGCAUAGAAAAGGGAGCUGCAUAGAGAAGGGGUUUAAUGGGGCAGAGGGAGAAAGAAUAAAAAGCUCUGUGCACUCUGCCAAGCCAGCUUGUUCAAUCCGUAGUUAUA